Molecule: ribosomal RNA, 468 nt
Filed under: uncultured bacterium
Lineage: Bacteria
Description: partial 16S ribosomal RNA
Rfam family: Bacterial small subunit ribosomal RNA
Source: RNAcentral
GACGAACGCUGGCGGCGUGCUUAACACAUGCAAGUCGAACGGAAAGGCCCUGCUUUUGUGGGGUGCUCGAGUGGCGAACGGGUGAGUAACACGUGAGUAACCUGCCCUUGACUUUGGGAUAACUUCAGGAAACUGGGGCUAAUACCGGAUAGGAGCUCCUGCUGCAUGGUGUGGGUUGGAAAGUUUCGGCGGUUGGGGAUGGACUCGCGGCUUAUCAGCUUGUUGGUGGGGUAGUGGCUUACCAAGGCUUUGACGGGUAGCCGGCCUGAGAGGGUGACCGGCCACAUGGGGACUGAGAUACGGCCCAGACUCCUACGGGACGCAGCAGUGGGGAAUAUUGCACAAUGGGCGGAAGCCUGAUGCAGCAGCGCCGCGUGCGGGAUGACGGCCUUCGGGUUAUAAACCGCUUUCGCCGGUGACGAGGCGUGAGUGACGGUAAUGGGUAAAGAAGCACCGGCUAACUACGUG